AUUUGACCUCAAAUCAGGUAGGAACACCCGCUGAACUUAAGCAUAUCAAUAAGCGGAGGAAAAGAAAAUAACAAUGAUUCCCCUAGUAACUGCGAGUGAAGAGGGACAAGCUCAAAUUUUAAAUCCAUCGGGUUUUACCCGAUCGAGUUGUAAUUUGAAGAGGCGUUUUCUGUGUUUCUGAUCAGUCCAAGUCCUUUGGGAUAAGGCAUCAUGGAGGGUGAGAAUCCCGUCCGGUUGAUCAGAUUCGCUUUACGAUACGCUUUCUAAGAGUCAAGUUGUUUGGGAUUGCAGCUUAAAAUGGGAGGUAAAUUUCUCCUAAGGCUAAAUAACGGCGAGAGACCGAUAGCGAACAAGUACCGUGAGGGAAAGAUGAAAAGAACUUUGAAAAGAGAGUUAAACAGUACGUGAAAUUGUUGAAAGGGAAACGAUUGAAGCCAGUCGUACCUUCGGGUAAUCAGCCUUUCGGGUGCGAUUAUGUGGAGUGUGAGGAGCUUAAACACCUUCAUGUUUUGCAUAUUCGUACUCUUGGGUGUACUUGCCCGUGUGGUUGGUUAACAUCAAUUUUGGUGGUCAUAAAAUGACUGGAGGAAUGUAGCUUCGAUCUCGUAUUGAAGUGUUAUAGCCUUCGGUAGAUGUGAUGAUCGAGAUUGAGGAUUGCAACGGAUACCCUUCGGGGCUACCUGUCUGGUCUCUGAUCGUUGCUCUGGUGCCGAAAGCUUGCUUACGGUUAUCAAAGUCGAUGGUCAAUAGGUUAGAACGGGUUAAAUUCGUUAAGGAUGUUGACGUAAUGGCUUUAAACGACCCGUCUUGAAACACGGACCAAGGAGUCUAACAUAUAUGCGAGUGUUAGGGUGAUUAAACCCUUACGCGUAAUGAAAGUAAUAUUGGUGGGAACACUUUUGUGCACCAUCGACCGAUCAGGAUAUUUUUUGAUAGAUUUGAGUAAGAGCAUAUCUGCUAGGACCCGAAAGAUGGUGAACUAUGCCUGAAUAGGGUGAAGCCAGAGGAAACUCUGGU
RNAcentral lists this ribosomal RNA (1017 nucleotides) under Rhizophagus irregularis. RNAcentral's name for it is "eukaryotic LSU rRNA". It matches the Rfam family "Eukaryotic large subunit ribosomal RNA", at positions 1 to 868 of the family's 3401-position model. Lineage: Eukaryota; Fungi; Glomeromycota; Glomeromycetes; Glomerales; Glomeraceae. The record is from RNAcentral.